Molecule: ribosomal RNA, 406 nt
Filed under: uncultured bacterium
Lineage: Bacteria
Description: partial 16S ribosomal RNA
Rfam family: Bacterial small subunit ribosomal RNA
Source: RNAcentral
AUUGAACGCUGGCGGCAUGCCUAACACAUGCAAGUCGAACGAGUGGCGGACGGGUGAGUAAUGUCUGGGAAACUGCCCGAUGGAGGGGGAUAACUACUGGAAACGGUAGCUAAUACCGCAUACCAUCGGAUGUGCCCAGAUGGGAUUAGCUAUGGGGUGGGGUAACGGCUCACCUAGGCGACGAUCCCUAUCUGGUCUGAGAGGAUGACCAGCCACACUGGAACGGAGACACGGUCCAGACGCCUACGGGAGGCAGCAGGGGGGAAUAUUGCACAAUGGGCGCAAGCCUGAUACAGCCAUGCCGCGUGUAUGAAGAAGGCCUUCGGGUUGUAAAGUACUUUCAGCGAGGAGGCGUUACUCGCAGAAGAAGCACCGGCUAACUCCGUGCCAGCAGCCGCGGUAAUAC